UACUCGGAAUGAUAAAUGCCGGUGAAGAAUAUCUCUCCUCUCUAUAGGGCGGAGGAUUGAUGGCCUGAUUUGUGCCUCCACGUAUCCCUGUCGAGGCCGUUGGUGUACCUUCGUCCCUGCCGUUGGUUAGUUUCUUUUUCUUUCCCGAUCUGCUGCGCCUGCGCUCGAUCAAAGUCGAACACUCGAACUGUCUCGAUACCUCCCGUCUCGUCCCUCUCCCAAUCGGCGGUGGGCGGCUGCUCGACGCGGGCGGCGGUUCCGGCGCCUAGAGGAGCACCUCGACGGCGAGCAAGUCAGCGCUCUCUUCUGCCCUCCUGCUCCUCCUUAUCUCAUCUCGGCGGAGUGGCGGCGGUUGCAGGGGCUGCGUUGCGGGGUCUGCUAGUGGCGGCUGGGACUUCUUCGACGGCGGAAGCAGUUGGAAGGACGGUGGCAGGGGCUUCCGGCGCUAGGCGCACCUCCACCCCGUCGCCCGUCGGCCCCUCGAUGGCAGGCACUGGGGGCGCUUUCAGUCUCUCUUCUCCCUAAGACGAGAUUGUCCCAGCCGGUGGCAGCGAGGCCUAGGCGAAGAUGAUCAUUUGAGCCAAUAAGCUCUCCUUAAGAAAUUGGUGGCUUAGUUAUCAAAGCAAAGAAUCCAUUUGAAUGUUUCACCAUAUCCAGGUUGUCUAUUUUGAAUCUGUCAUGAAGUGUCCGAGGCCUAAGAGCCCUUAACAUGCUCCAAGCUCGAUCGAUGAAAGAAGUUAUGAACAACACCAAGACAAGCUGAAGGACCAACAAGGAGGCAACGGCUUUUUUGCUCUAGACCUUGGCUGUGAAAUGUCUGUAAACUAUAUCUGUAAGUAAGAAUCAUCAUUUCGUGAGCCGUGCCAUGCAAUUCAGUUUUGAGAUUGUCUGGUUGCUUGUGAGCUUCCAUUUGAUGAAUAAGAGGUGUUGCUAUUUCAUUUUAUGCUCUUUGACGCUUUAAUAUUUAGAUUGGAAAGUGAUUUAGUUUUUGGCCAUACCGCAUCAAUGCAAAAUUGUUAAAAGUGUCUUCAUAAAUGUAUCAGAAAAGUUCUGGGCGCAAGCUCUAACGUGGCCACUACUGCCGCUGAGUCUGAAGAUGCUUAUGUUAUGUAUGAUGUUGGGAUGCUGGUAUCAAAGUCAUUAUCUUCAUUCGCGUGCACAUACCGGAGAGCUUUCUAUUACUCAGUACAUAAGCAAUGUUCAGUUAUUAAUUGAUGAACACUUGGCAAUUACAUGACAAAGAAGGGGUCUUCUUUGGAUUAUUUCUUUGUUUUAGAGGUUGUGAAUGGAAGUUUUGUGAAUUCUGCUAGGCGUGUUCCAUUUGUUAUAUAAUAUGUCAUACAUAGAUUUACACAAACGUCAUUGGUGGAUGACGUGGAUUAUGGCAACAAUUGUCCGGCACAGUGAAGCGCGCUAUUCCAUCUAGUCAAAUUCUGUAGAAGUACCAGUUGGUUUGUCUAUUUUGCACCAGGCGGCGAAACCAGAAAUGUUGCCGUUGCAUAAACCAUAUGGUAUGUUUAGUUAGUAGACUAGCAUGUCAUCUUACAGCUGUCUUGUUUGGACAAUUUCCAGUCUUUGCAUAAAUAAAUUAUAAAUGUAAUGAAUUUCACAGGUUAUGCUGGAUGCUCAGGAGAUACUCAUGGUUUAACAACGGGUGUGCACAACGGAAGGUUUAAUGUUUGAUUGGGGUAGUAUGAUCUGUUUGAUGGACUUGGAUCUUACCUGCUUUUUUCAAGAAAUUCCAGCAUGUCUUCAAGUUGAUGCGGAGGACUUAAUAUUAUGUUUGGACCGUCAUACUGCAAAACUGGGAACCAUUAUGGAUCACAAUUUGGACCUGUUAAUUCCCCUAAUGUCUGUAACAUUUAGUACAUUCACUGAAGCAUAUAAGCUUCAUACUUGCGCUUGAAUUUCUGUCAUGAACUUAUUACUAUUUGUAGUGGAUUGUUGCUACUUCUUAAGUUCUUUUUAAACCA
Long non-coding RNA from Brachypodium distachyon (stiff brome), 1973 nucleotides. RefSeq lists it as uncharacterized. The record is from RefSeq and is a predicted model, not a curated record. NCBI's taxonomy places the organism in Eukaryota, Viridiplantae, Streptophyta, Magnoliopsida, Poales, Poaceae. The transcript has 3 exons.